RNAcentral lists this ribosomal RNA (418 nucleotides) under uncultured bacterium. RNAcentral describes it as "bacterial SSU rRNA". It matches the Rfam family "Bacterial small subunit ribosomal RNA", at positions 356 to 773 of the family's 1533-position model. The record is from RNAcentral.
GAGGAAUAUUGGUCAAUGGGAGCAAUCCUGAACCAGCGACGCCGCGUGUGGGAUGACGGGGCUAUGCCCUGUAAACCACUGUCGGAUGGGACGAAAAGCGGGCUUCGCCCGCUGGGACGGUACCAUCAAAGGAAGGAUCGGCUAACUACGUGCCAGCAGCCGCGGUAAUACGUAGGAUCCAAGCGUUGUCCGGAUUUACUGGGUGUAAAGGGUGCGUAGGCGGACAGGUGCGUCAGAGGUGAAAUCUCCCGGCUUAACUGGGAGGGUGCCUUUGAUACGGCUUGUCUUGAGUGCGAGAGAGGAUGAUGGAAUUCCUGGUGUAGCGGUGAAAUGCGUAGAUAUCAGGAGGAACACCAGUGGCGAAGGCGGUCAUCUGGCUCGUAACUGACGCUGAGGCACGAAAGCGUGGGGAGCAAAC